This 205-nucleotide microRNA precursor is filed under the name Oryza brachyantha (malo sina). RNAcentral's name for it is "MIR812 microRNA precursor family". It matches the Rfam family "MIR812 microRNA precursor family". The record is from Rfam by way of RNAcentral. Lineage: Eukaryota; Viridiplantae; Streptophyta; Magnoliopsida; Poales; Poaceae.
AAUAAGUUUAUUUUUAGUUGUUAGAUACAAUGUUUUGACUUUUCAUCUUAUUUGAAAUUUUUUAUGAUUAAUAUUUUUAUUGUUACUAUACGGUAAAACAUAAAUAAUACUUUAUGCAUGACUAAUUUUUUAAGUUUUUUUACAAAUUUUUUAAAUAAGACAAAUGAUCAAAUUUUGGACAUAGAAAUCGAAAAUUAAAGUUAUU